Molecule: ribosomal RNA, 497 nt
Filed under: uncultured bacterium
Lineage: Bacteria
Description: partial 16S ribosomal RNA
Rfam family: Bacterial small subunit ribosomal RNA
Source: RNAcentral
GAUGAACGCUGGCGGCGUGCCUAAUACAUGCAAGUCGAGCGAACGGACGAGAAGCUUGCUUCUCUGAUGUUAGCGGCGGACGGGUGAGUAACACGUGGAUAACCUACCUAUAAGACUGGGAUAACUUCGGGAAACCGGAGCUAAUACCGGAUAAUAUUUUGAACCGCAUGGUUCAAAAGUGAAAGACGGUCUUGCUGUCACUUAUAGAUGGAUCCGCGCUGCAUUAGCUAGUUGGUAAGGUAACGGGCUACCAAGGCAACGAUGCAUAGCCGACCUGAGAGGGUGAUCGGCCACAUGGGAACUGGGACACGGUCCAGACUCCUACGGGAGGCAGCAGUAGAGAAUCUGCCGCAAUGGGCGAAAGCCUGACGGAGCAACGCCGCGUGAGUGAUGAAGGUGUUCGGAUCGUAAAACUCUGUUAUUAGGGAAGAACAUAUGUGUAAGUAACUGUGCACAUCUUGACGGUACCUAAUCAGAAAGCCACGGCUAACUACGUG